This 419-nucleotide ribosomal RNA is filed under the name uncultured Prevotella sp. Its description in RNAcentral is "bacterial SSU rRNA". It matches the Rfam family "Bacterial small subunit ribosomal RNA", at positions 358 to 774 of the family's 1533-position model. Lineage: Bacteria; Pseudomonadati; Bacteroidota; Bacteroidia; Bacteroidales; Prevotellaceae. The record is from RNAcentral.
GGAAUAUUGGUCAAUGGGCGAGAGCCUGAACCAGCCAAGUAGCGUGCAGGAUGACGGCCCUACGGGUUGUAAACUGCUUUUUCCGGGGAAUAACCGGCGUCACGUGUGGCGCCCUGCAUGUACCCGGUGAAUAAGGACCGGCUAAUUCCGUGCCAGCAGCCGCGGUAAUACGGAAGGUCCGGGCGUUAUCCGGAUUUAUUGGGUUUAAAGGGAGCGCAGGCCGGAGGUCAAGCGUGACGUGAAAUGUAGCCGCUCAACGGCUGAGUUGCGUCGCGAACUGGUUUCCUUGAGUGAGUACGACGUCAGCGGAAUUCGUGGUGUAGCGGUGAAAUGCUUAGAUAUCACGAAGAACCCCGAUUGCGAAGGCAGCUGACGAGUCCUUUACUGACGCUAAAGCUCGAAGGUGCGGGUAUCGAACA